CUGCUGACGAGCGGCGGACGGGUGAGUAACACGUGGGAAUCUGCCUAUUGGUGGGGGAUAGCCCGGAGAAAUCCGGAUUAAUACCGCAUAAUACCUGAGGGUUAAAACAGGGGAUCUUCGGACCUUGUGCCAAUAGAUGAGCCCGCGUCAGAUUAGUUAGUUGGUGAGGUAAUGGCUCACCAAGACCGCGAUCUGUAGCUGGCCUGAGAGGGUGGCCAGUCACACUGGAACUGAGACACGGUCCAGACUCCUACGGGAGGCAGCAGUGGGGAAUAUUGGACAAUGGGCGCAAGCCUGACCCAGCCAUGCCGCGUGUGUGAAGAAGGCUUUCGGGUUGUAAAGCACUUUAAGUUGGGAGGAAGGUGCGACGGUUAAUACCCGUUGUAAUUGACGUUACCAACAGAAUAAGCACCGGCUAAUUCCGUGCCAGCAGCCGCGGUAAUACGGAAGGUGCGAGCGUUAAUCGGAAUUACUGGGCGUAAAGCGCACGUAGGCGGUUUGCUAAGUCAGAUGUGAAAGCCCAGGGCUUAACCUUGGAACUGCAUCUGAUACUGGCAGGCUAGAGUACAGUAGAGGGAGGUGGAAUUUCAGGUGUAGCGGUGAAAUUCGUAGAUAUUCGGAGGAACACCAGUGGCGAAGGCGGCUCACUG
This 650-nucleotide ribosomal RNA is filed under the name uncultured marine bacterium. RNAcentral's name for it is "bacterial SSU rRNA". It matches the Rfam family "Bacterial small subunit ribosomal RNA", at positions 85 to 731 of the family's 1533-position model. The record is from RNAcentral.